AGGAAGUUGGCUUCACUAGGGCAAGGAAUGAAUGGCCACCACUGCUUUUGUGCCAAAGGACUAAGCCUCCCUGGGAGAGAGGACAAGAACAGGCUGGAGGAGGGGUGCCCUUCAUCAUCUUGUGAGCAUCUGGGCCAAGUUCAGGGCUGGUGCUCUCGUUCAGAUAGAUUUAGCUGGUGGUGCAGAGAUCCGUGAGCUUGCUUUUACAGGACUUUAAUGAUAUAUAAAAGCAGCACGAGGUGCUCCUGACUGUGGAUUAAUUUGGAGAUGACUUUCUCUGUUGAAGAGUAGCAAGACUCUCGCGAGUUCUUAAAAAUGCACUUGUUUGGUAUGAGAAUGAAAAGCAGUGGCUGAAGAACCAAUCUUCAAUGGGCAAGCCUUCUCUGAUGCCUUGUUGGUGGUAUAGUGUGAAUCCAUUAGCACUGAACUCAGGACCAGCAAUGGUGUGACUCAGGCCUGAAGGAAGCUUUUCUAGCACAUGGAUUUCCUCUGUAAGGCACCUCACAGCCUCUCGUGCCUGGGAACUCUAGCCAGCACUGUAGCACGAUGCCUAGGGCCAUUAUAAAUGUGAAAUCACCAAAGAAACCCCACAAAAAUGUGAAAAUCACGGCACUAAAUAGACCACAAAAAGGAUGCUUGUUUGACUGCAAACAAGUAUGAGAACUGGAACCAGAAAGUAGGAUGUCAUCUUGUUCUUCCUUAGCACUGGAUGACUCAAAUUUCUCUCCACUCUGCCAGUGUCUUUGAAUGACCAGGAAAUUGCUGGGAAUAUUGAUUUUGGGAUAACAAAUAAAUUUUAUCGACUAG
This 807-nucleotide long non-coding RNA is filed under the name Homo sapiens (human). Its description in RNAcentral is "HSALNT0265334". The record is from RNAcentral. Lineage: Eukaryota; Metazoa; Chordata; Mammalia; Primates; Hominidae.